RNAcentral lists this ribosomal RNA (2957 nucleotides) under Spirochaetia bacterium. Its description in RNAcentral is "23S ribosomal RNA". It matches the Rfam family "Bacterial large subunit ribosomal RNA". The record is from RNAcentral. Lineage: Bacteria; Pseudomonadati; Spirochaetota; Spirochaetia.
UCAAGUGAAUAAGGGUUUAUGGUGGAUGCCUUGGAGUUAAGAGGCGAAGAAGGCCGUGACAAGCUGCGAAAAGCCGUGGGGAGGAGCAAAUAUCCUGUGAUCCGCGGAUAGCCGAAUGGGGUAACCCGCAAGAAGUGAUUCUUGCAUCCAACAUUUGAAUAUAUAGAGUGUGGAAGCGAAACUGGGGGAACUGAACCAUCUAAGUACCCCGGGAAUAGAAAACAAAAGUGAUUCCGAGAGUAGCGGCGAGCGAAAUUGGAGAUAGCCUAAACCGUCCAAUAGGGCGGGGUUGUAGGGCUGCGUGGCGUAAGCAAUGAGUUACAAAACGGCAAUAUAGCAGAAAGGUUUGGGAAGGCCUGACAAAGAGGGUGAAAUCCCCGUAUGCGGCAUAUUGACGACUCAUACGCAGUUCCUGAGUACGGCGGGGCACGAGAAACCCUGUCGGAAUCUGGGUCGACCACGAUCCAAGGCUAAAUACUACUUAACUACCGAUAGUGCAGAAGUACCGUGAGGGAAAGGCGAAAAGAACCCCGGUGAGGGGAGUGAAAUAGAACCUGAAACCGUAAACCCACAACAGGUUAAAGCCGGAUUUAUCCGGUGAUAGCGUGUCUUUUGUAGAAUAAGCCUGCGAGUUACGAUAUGCAGCGAGGUUAAGGAAUAGAAGUUCCGGAGCCGUAGGGAAACCGAGUCUGAAUAGGGCGCCAUAGUUGCAUGUCGUAGACCCGAAGCCAAGUGAUCUAGUUAUGAGCAGGUUGAAGCUGCGGUAAAACGCAGUGGAGGACCGAACCCUAGUCUGUUAAAAAAGGCAGGGAUGACUUGUGACUCGGAGUGAAAGGCUAAACAAACUUGGAAAUAGCUGGCUCUCCCCGAAAUGCCUUGAGGGACAGCCUCAUCAAAAUCUCUACGAGGUAGAGCACUGGAUGGACUAGGGGGCGUCACAGCCUACCAAACCCAAUCAAACUCCGAAUGCGUAGAGACAACUGAUGGGAGUGAGACUGCGGGCGACAAGGUUCGUAGUCGAGAGGGAAACAGCCCAGACCUUCAGCUAAGGUCCCAAAUUAUCGCUAAGUGUAAAAUGAUGUGUGAUUGCGAAGACAGCCAGGAGGUUGGCUUAGAAGCAGCCAUUCCUUAAAAGAGUGCGUAAUAGCUCACUGGUCGAGUAAUGAUGCGCAGACAAUGUAACGGGGCUAAGCGAUAAACCGAAGCUAGGGAAUCAUGUAUUGCUUGCAAUAUAUGGUUGGUAGGGGAGCAUUCCAUAGACCGAAGAAGGUGUACUGUAAGGUAUGCUGGAGGGAAUGGAAGAGAGAAUGCAGGUAUAAGUAUACGAAAAGACGGGUGAGAUCCCCGUCCGCAUAAAUCCUAAGGUUUCCUGGGUAAAGGUCAUCUGCCCAGGGUAAGUCGGAGCCUAAGACGAGGGCGAAAGCCGUAGUCGAUGGUAAACUGGUUCAUAUUCCAGUACCUUGAUUAGUUUUGAUGGAAUGACACGUGAGGUGAAAGUCCGCCGGGCGACGGUUGUCCCGGUCGAAGCAGUAAGUUGAUGAGGGGUGCAGGCAAAUCCGCAUUCUAAGAUGAGCUGUGACAGUGAGUGGAGCUACGGCGAAGCGAAGUGACUGUAAUCAAGGCGUCAAGAAAUAAUUUCUAAAGCUAGGCUAAUUAAGUCCGUACCGUAAACCGACACAGGUAGGAAAGAUGAGAAAUCGAAUGCGCUCGAGAGAACUCGCGUAAAGGAACUCGGCAAAAUGCACACGUAACUUCGGGAGAAGUGUGGCCGUCGCAAGCUGUUAAAAGUUAAAAGCGGCGGUAUCAUAAAGCAGUCCCAGGCGACUGUUUACCAAAAACACAGGCCUCUGCAAAUCAGCAAUGAGACGUAUAGGGGCUGACACCUGCCCGGUGCCGGAAGGUUAAGAGGAGCGGUUAGCGGUAACGCGAAGCUGUGAAUCGAAGCCCCGGUAAACGGCGGCCGUAACUAUAACGGUCCUAAGGUAGCGAAAUUCCUUGUCGGGUAAGUUCCGACCCGCACGAAAGGUGUAACGAUCUGGGAGCUGUCUCUACGCGAGACUCGGUGAAAUUUAUGUACCGGUAAAGAAGCCGGUUACCCGUGGUUAGACGGAAAGACCCCGUGAACCUUCACUGUAACUUAUCAUGGGGACUUGGUUAAAUAUGUGUAGGAUAGGUGGGAGACUAUGAAACAUGGGCGUUAGCUUGUGCGGAGUCAUCGGUGAAAUACCACCCUUAUUUGAUUAGGUUUCUAACCCGGACCAUGAAGCUGGUUCGGGGACAAUGAUAGGCAGGCAGUUUGACUGGGGCGGUCGCCUCCCAAAGAGUAACGGAGGUGCGCGAAGGUUCCCUCGUCCUGGUUGGAAAUCAGGAUAUGAGUGUAAAGGCACAAGGGAGCUUGACUGCGAGACUGACAGGUCGAGCAGGUACGAAAGUAGGUCUUAGUGAUCUGGCGGUAGCGAGUGGAAGCGCCGUCACUUAACGGAUAAAAGGUACUCCGGGGAUAACAGGCUGAUCUUCCCCAAGAGUUCACAUCGACGGGAAGGUUUGGCACCUCGAUGUCGGCUCAUCGCAUCCUGGGGCUGAAGCAGGUCCCAAGGGUUUGGCUGUUCGCCAAUUAAAGCGGUACGUGAGCUGGGUUCAGAACGUCGCGAGACAGUUCGGUCCCUAUCUGCCAUGGGCGUUGGAAAGUUGAGAGGAGCUGGUUUUAGUACGAGAGGACCGAAUUGGACGAACCUCUGGUGUAUCUGUUGUCCUGCCAAGGGCAAGUGCAGAGUAGCUACGUUCGGAAGGGAUAACCGCUGAAGGCAUCUAAGUGGGAAGCCCACCUCAAGAUUAACUUUCCCUAGAGUUUUAAACUCUCUAAAGGUACCAGGAAGACUACCUGGUUGAUAGGUUGGAGGUCUAAGCACAGUAAUGUGUUCAGCCGACCAAUACUAAUCUACCGUGAGGCUUGACCA